AGAGAGUGGUGCAGGAGGAGGAGACUCCAAGGGAUGAAGACAUAAAUGGAAAGGAAAAAGCUGAAAGAUGUGCUAAUUGUGGAGCUGCAUAACCAUAAACAGAUUCACUGAAUUAACAAAAAUGGGAAACCCUGAGUCCAAACCUCUGCCAUCUCCAGAAUUUGAUACUCCAUGGCGGACAAUGAACUGGGGGAAAAAAGAUGAAAUUGAGCAGAAACUGAGGAACUUUAGACUCCACAACCCAAAUGUUCAGUUUGUAAGAAUUCUUCUUGUUGGUGAAGUCGGGGCAGGAAAGUCUAGUUUCAUAAACUCAGUCAAUAAUGCUUUUCAAAGAAGAAUCACCUCUAGAGCUCUUGUUGAUGGAACAGGUGGAACCAGUUUCACAAAAGUAUACAAAACCUAUCACAUUGAAGGAGAGGAUGGUUCCCCCUUACCCUUUGUCCUCAAUGAUAUCAUGGGGAUUGAGGCCACUCAAUCUGGUGCACAUGAAAAGGAUAUUAUCAAAGCUUUACAUGGGUUUCUUGAGGAAGGAUACAAAUUAAAUCCUGCGUCCCCGGUGUCUCCAAAUGACCCUGGCCAUAGGAGCAACCCAGCUCUUGAGGAUCAAACCUUCUGCCUGGUCAACAUCAUCGCAGCUGACAAAGUAUCACUGAUGCAUAAUGAGGUCAUUGUAAAGCUGAAAAAAAUCCGUCAGGCAGCAACAGAUCUGAAUAUUCCACAAGUAGUCAUCGUGACACGACCAGAUUUUGCAUGUCCACUGGUUAAAGAUAAACUACAGAAGAUCUACACCAGCAAGAAGAUCAAAGAAAAGCAAGACAAGCACUUUAAACACAAGGCCAAGGCAAUGCUGAGGAGCGCGAAUUGUUUUGCAAUGUGCUGUACAUCCUUUUUCAGAUAUGAGGAAAAGGAAGAAGUUUAAAAAAAAAAAUGUUGUUGCCGCUAAAGUUUAAAGGGUGUGGAAGGGCUUUGGAGAACAAACAGUCCCAUUAUUUACACACUUGGAUAAGAACAGCAGAGACAGAGGAGACUUACCCUGAUGGCCACACAGGGCAACCUCACAAACAUGGAUGUCACACACUUCAGAGAAGAAGAGAAAAAGAGACAGAGGUGAUGAUCACCUUUUAGGACCCCUGAGGUCUUCCAAAGUAGUGAUUCCAUCAAGUUGGUAAUUUGAGUGUUGCGCUCUACUGUCUGUCUGAGACUGAAAAAUGAGAUUGACAGGUAAGAGUUCUCUCUCUCUAAGAAGAAUCUGUUCAUCAUCAUCAUCAUUGAGUUCAGAGAGAGAGAGGGGGGGCUUGUGUGUGUGUGUGUGUGUGUGUGUGUGUGUGUGUGUGUUUGUGUCAACUGCACAAUGAUAAAUCACAUGAGAAGUGUGUUUAAUCGCUGAACCCUGUUUGAUCACUGAAUGAAAAGCAUAGCGGCGGUUGUCAUGGAAAACUGUGUGAGGCUCGUUGAGGGACAGUUCUGGGGCACGUUCAAAUCUGAUGAAAGCCAAAAGGGGGGAAACGGUGCUGUUUAGGAAAACAAGCUAAUGAAGAGCUGAAAACAGACCUACAGUAGCACUACAGAGGCAGCAGUGUCAUUAGUGGAGAAGUAAUGCUGAUUCGUCACACACACAAACACACUGAGAAAUAAAUCCUUAAAAUCUUAAUUUUAAGCCAGAUGACUUGAAUAUGGAAGUGUGUGUGUAUGUGUGUGUGCGCGUUUUACUGACUAGUUUCUGUCUUAGUGAGUUGGUCCCGCAAAUCUAUUGACUUUAAAUUGGGCGGUAUUCAUAUGGAAGGUCCAUUUUUUGUACAACUGGUAAGAGGAAGAGGAAGUGUAUAAGGUUAAACACAUACUACCACUGUAACCGUGUUUAGAUACGAAAGGUUGAUCACCUGUGUAAAACCAAGAGCUUCUUAAGGUUAGUAUUAAAAGCAAUAUGAUUCUCUAAAAAAUCCCUGACUUGAAAGGUGUAUUAUAGCAAUUUUUGACUAUUGCUUAAAUGUAACUCGAAGGAUUUCUACUUAUUUGUGUGUAUUUUCUUAUAACUCUGUAUUUGUUUAGACAUGGCAAUGGCAUUGAAAAUGAGAAAUGAUAUUUAAGGACUGAUAAUGGCCUUGGCAGACAAAGAAAAUCUACAAGUAGAAGUCAAACCUGGCAAUAGGGGCAGGAAUUGAAUUUGUCUCUUGUGCUGUUGGACUACGCAUUGGUGGCUAUCCUGGUGCCCUGGCAGGUGCUGCUGUGGGAGGUGUAAUCAUGUUAUAAUUACAAUGUGCUGUUGAAAUGGCCACUACGGUCACCUGACAAGACACCUAAGGAUUUUGUUCUAUGGUGUUAUGUGAAGGGACCGGUCCUUAUCCCCGCUCUCCCUACAAGCCUAGAGGAAUUUACUCAGAGAAUCAUUUAGGUGCUGGAGAAUUUUACGCAAGAUAUGCUACUGUGUGUUUGGCAGGAGCUGGACUACUGGCUUGCGUGUGUCGUGUCACAGUUAUAAUUACAAUGUGUUGUUGAACUGGCCACUACGGUCACCUGACUUGACACCUUUUUCCAUGGAGUUAGGCCCCAGAUGCCAACAAAAAACAGCGAGCUCCACCGCCACCAAGGCCUGUGGCCCCAGCUUGCCCUCCCCUACUGUGAGAGCCCUCCAACGCUGCUGGGCUCAAACCCCCCUCCUCUAUCAGGUCUGAAGCUAGAUAGAAGCUCUCAGUGAUGUUUGUCGGGUCCCCGUAUGAUAGCAAUAUCAUUCACAAAUGUUUACAGAACAAGCAGGAACAGUAGAAAGUCUAAAGCCUUCUCAAGCCAUACAGCUGACCCAUCUAAUCUACGACCUAAUAUGCAUCAAAGUAAGAUCAGCGUGGG
Molecule: RNA transcript, 2844 nt
Organism: Clarias gariepinus (North African catfish)
Lineage: Eukaryota; Metazoa; Chordata; Actinopteri; Siluriformes; Clariidae
Gene name: interferon-induced protein 44-like
Exons: 12
Source: RefSeq, a predicted model, not a curated record